This 620-nucleotide ribosomal RNA is filed under the name uncultured bacterium. RNAcentral describes it as "bacterial SSU rRNA". It matches the Rfam family "Bacterial small subunit ribosomal RNA", at positions 338 to 948 of the family's 1533-position model. The record is from RNAcentral.
CCUACGGGAGGCAGCAGUAGGGAAUCUUCCGCAAUGGACGAAAGUCUGACGGAGCAACGCCGCGUGAACGAUGAAGGCCUUCGGGUCGUAAAGUUCUGUUGUUAGGGAAGAACAAGUGCUAGUUAAAUAAGCUGGCACCUUGACGGUACCUAACCAGAAAGCCACGGCUAACUACGUGCCAGCAGCCGCGGUAAUACGUAGGUGGCAAGCGUUGUCCGGAAUUAUUGGGCGUAAAGCGCGCGCAGGCGGUUUCUUAAGUCUGAUGUGAAAGCCCCCGGCUCAACCGGGGAGGGUCAUUGGAAACUGGGAAACUUGAGUGCAGAAGAGGAAAGUGGAAUUCCAAGUGUAGCGGUGAAAUGCGUAGAGAUUUGGAGGAACACCAGUGGCGAAGGCGACUUUCUGGUCUGUAACUGACGCUGAGGCGCGAAAGCGUGGGGAGCAAACAGGAUUAGAUACCCUGGUAGUCCACGCUGUAAACGAUGAGUGCUAAGUGUUAGAGGGUUUCCGCCCUUUAGUGCUGAAGUUAACGCAUUAAGCACUCCGCCUGGGGAUACGGUCGCAAGACUGAAACUCAAAAGNGAGUCGACGNGNGAGAGCGACGACGACGACGACGAGGAGAG